Molecule: ribosomal RNA, 449 nt
Filed under: uncultured bacterium
Lineage: Bacteria
Description: partial 16S ribosomal RNA
Rfam family: Bacterial small subunit ribosomal RNA
Source: RNAcentral
AGCGAACGCUGGCGGCAGGCCUAACACAUGCAAGUCGAACGGACCCUUCGGGGUUAGUGGCGGACGGGUGAGUAACACGUGGGAACGUGCCUUUAGGUUCGGAAUAGCUCCUGGAAACGGGUGGUAAUGCCGAAUGUGCCCUUCGGGGGAAAGAUUUAUCGCCUUUAGAGCGGCCCGCGUCUGAUUAGCUAGUUGGUGAGGUAAUGGCUUACCAAGGCGACGAUCAGGAGAUGGUCUGAGAGGAUGACCAGCCACAUUGGGACUGAGACACGGCCCAAACUCCGACGGGAGGCAGCAGUGGGGAAUCUUGCGCAAUGGGCGAAAGCCUGACGCAGCCAUGCAGCGUGGAUGAUGAAGGUCUUAGGAUUGUAAAAUCCUUUCACCGGUGAAGAUAAUGACUGUAGCCGGAGAAGAAGCCCCGGCUAACUUCGUGCCAGCAGCCGCCGUAA